UUGAUUUUUAAAGGAUGUGCUGGCUGCCCUCACAGGUUUGCAUGUGCACUCCACAAAAUCUCCAUUCUCUACACCAUUGUGCACAACCCAGUAGGCAAAAAACAGGUUCACAGAACAAUCUGUGCACAUUGUCUGCCUAUGCUUUUUAUACCAAACCCCAAUAAUAUGUCAGAAUGAUGUAUUGCAGUAAGCUUUCACAAGCUGAAAUCUAAUA
RNAcentral lists this unclassified non-coding RNA (214 nucleotides) under uncultured Clavaria. RNAcentral describes it as "sequence contains ITS1". The record is from RNAcentral. Lineage: Eukaryota; Fungi; Basidiomycota; Agaricomycetes; Agaricales; Clavariaceae.